GACGAACGCUGGCGGCGUGCUUAACACAUGCAAGUCGAACGGACAGGCCCUGCUUUUGUGGGGUGCUCGUGUGGCGAACGGGUGAGUAAAACGUGAGUAAACUGCCCCUGUCUUUGGGAUAACUUCAGGGGAAUGGGGCUCAUACCGGAUAGGAGCUCCUGCUGCAUGGUGGUGGUUGGAAAGUUUCGGCGGUUGGGGAUGGACUCGCGGCUUAUCAGCUUGUUGGUGAGGUAGGUGCUGACAAAGGCUAUGACGGCUAGCCGGCCUGAGAGGGGGACCGGCGACAUGAGGACUAAGAGAGGGCCCAGACGCCUACGGGAGGCAGCAGUGGGGAAUAUUGCGCAGUAGGCGGAAGCCAGAUGCAACAGUGCCGCGUGCGUGAUGACGUCUUACGAGGUGUGAACCGAUUUCUCCGGUGACGAGGAGUGAUUGACGGUAAUGAAUAAAGAAGCACCGGCUAACUACGUG
Molecule: ribosomal RNA, 468 nt
Filed under: uncultured bacterium
Lineage: Bacteria
Description: partial 16S ribosomal RNA
Rfam family: Bacterial small subunit ribosomal RNA
Source: RNAcentral